AGUCACCAGAAGGCAGGUGUGAGCCGUCUGUUAUGCCCGGACAGGGCCACCAGAGGGCUCCUUGGUCUAGCGGUAACGCCA
Molecule: microRNA precursor, 81 nt
Filed under: Mandrillus leucophaeus (drill)
Lineage: Eukaryota; Metazoa; Chordata; Mammalia; Primates; Cercopithecidae
Description: miRNA (ENSMLEG00000012233.1)
Source: RNAcentral